GGGCUCAUAGCUCAAUGGUCAGAGCCCCCGGCUCAUAACCGGUCGGUUCCAGGUUCGAAUCCUGGUGAGCCCACCA
This 76-nucleotide transfer RNA is filed under the name Deltaproteobacteria bacterium. RNAcentral describes it as "tRNA-Ile". It matches the Rfam family "tRNA". Rfam says of the family: Transfer RNA (tRNA) molecules are approximately 80 nucleotides in length. Their secondary structure includes four short double-helical elements and three loops (D, anti-codon, and T loops). Lineage: Bacteria; Pseudomonadati; Myxococcota; Myxococcia. The record is from RNAcentral.